Molecule: ribosomal RNA, 279 nt
Filed under: uncultured bacterium
Lineage: Bacteria
Description: partial 16S ribosomal RNA
Rfam family: Bacterial small subunit ribosomal RNA
Source: RNAcentral
UGCCAUCAGCCGCGGUAAUACGGAGGGGGUUAGCGUUGUUCGGAAUUACUGGGCGUAAAGCGUACGUAGGCGGAUUAGUAAGUUAGAGGUGAAAUCCCAGGGCUCAACCCUGGAACUGCCUUUAAUACUGCUAGUCUUGAGUUCGAGAGAGGUGAGUGGAAUUCCAAGUGUAGAGGUGAAAUUCGUAGAUAUUUGGAGGAACACCAGUGGCGAAGGCGGCUCACUGGCUUAUUUCUGACGCUGAGACGCGAAAGCGUGGGUAGCAAACGGGAUUAGAUA